GGAAGCGUGCCCGAGAACUAAGGGAUACUUUGAUAGAGUAAACACAGAGAACAGCCCUCUCACUUCCCA
Molecule: transfer RNA, 69 nt
Filed under: Trioceros feae
Lineage: Eukaryota; Metazoa; Chordata; Lepidosauria; Squamata; Chamaeleonidae
Description: tRNA-Ile
Source: RNAcentral